This is a long non-coding RNA of Mirounga angustirostris (Northern elephant seal), 3837 nucleotides long. RefSeq lists it as uncharacterized. Lineage: Eukaryota; Metazoa; Chordata; Mammalia; Carnivora; Phocidae. The record is from RefSeq and is a predicted model, not a curated record. The transcript has 3 exons.
CGAGGCCUGGGGGGUCCCCAGAACUCCCAGCUUGGAGGAUCAGGGUCGUUCUGCCUUCACCCUUCCAGAAAAAUCCUGGGCAGGGUUUGGAUUGUGCGGACUUGGGUCACAUGGCCGUUGCUGAGCUAAUUCCUGUGGGUGGGGGAGCACCGACCGCUCUCUGGUUGGCUGGCCUCGGGUCGCGCGACUCCAGCCAGCUCCUGUGACCGCUCUGGGGACAGGGAGGCUGUCCCACCGACAACAGAAGCCAUCGUGAGGCAGGGGCUUCCUGCUGAUUGGAGGGCGCGGCAGGACGUCAGAUGGAGGAGAGCAGAAGGGAGGGACACUCGUUCUUCUUCACCGGGCUGUAGGAGCACAGAUCCCACCAGGUGGCCCUUCCUGAGGCCCUGGCCCUGGCUCUGGUAACCACCGCCUUCCCACACUCCUUCGGCCUGGGGGUGGUCACGGGUCCCUUGAUGCCUCAGCCGCUCUGGUGGUUCCCUCAAUCCUGCCAACACCUCUGAAAAUGCUCUUUUCAUUAACAAAUCUCGUUGCCCCCCCAUAAGUGGGCCAUCUGUUUCCUGUCCUAUUCUGAGAGAUGCCAGUCUCGUGGCAGGCCAGGCACAGCACGCACAUCCUGGAGAGUCCCAGCAGCACCUGCACAAAACCCCAUUAAAGUGGCUGGCUGCACCUGUGCCCAGGGCAUCUGGGCUGAGGCCAGGGACACAGCCUGCCCUGAGGAGCCCCGGGGGGCCUACAAGACAGCAAGGGCCCCAGCCUGACAGAGUCCAACUCCAGGAGCUGGGGUGGUGAGCAGGGCUCUGCUGUCAGCCAGUCAUGACCUUCCAAAGAGAACAAGCCCUUGGCACAGGGUCGCUAGGCCCGUCCUCAGCCUCUCCUGUCUCUUGGACUCUGUGGAUGGGAUCCCUGCGGGGCCUGUCCAGCCCAGCCCAUCUGGAGGAUCUGCAGAAGCAGGACAUGCCAUUUCCACGUGUGGGACUUUGUCAUCUAUCUGGGCCUGGCUCCUUUGCAAAGUGUCCUCAUUCCUGAGCCCUGGGGACAAAAGACUUAUCAGACUGGGACCUCUGCUGGGUGGGGGAGACAGGUGCAGUCUCAGGACAGGCUGAGAGUUGGCCCAGUGAACAGGUGAGGGCUGCAGAACCCAUGCAGCUGGGAGGGGGGCUGGCCCAGGGCUCAGGGCUCUGCUUCCCUUCCUCUGGGCUCCAGGCUUCUUCCACAGCCGACCUGGCACCGUUCGAUUCCUUCCAGAUCCGACCCUCAGUGUGACCACAGUGAUAGUCACGUUAUUCCCCACAGGGCCCCUGCCCUCAAGCCUGCCCUCCCCCUCCUCCCUCUCUCCCUCCUUCUGUCCCCCCCCCACUCGGGUGACAAUAGUGACGUCAACAACUGAAAGCCCCAGCACCUGCUGGUCACCAGAUCCAUGCAGCAUUUGGGGGCGGCUCCCUUUCCUUGAGCACACCCCUCACCGUGGAAGCCAUGGGCUGGGCCCCAUGGAUCUGGGAGAGGUCUCAAGUACCCAUGACAAAAUCACGUCUUCAGAAUCUCGUGUUUUCAUUUAAAACAAAAUUCAUUCACAUAUGGCACGCUCCUCCUUGCCAAUCGAUGCUUUAUAAUGAAUGCUCCGCGGAGGCUCUGCUGACCCCUCCCCAGAGCCUCCAGGCCCGAGCAUCGUGCCGCAUCUGGUGAUGGCAGGGCACCCAUGUCAUGGUGACCAAGUGAUAGCACAUCGCCCAACAGGCAGGCAGGGGAGCCAGACCCAGAGUCUGGUCUUGGCCAGCCUAGGGCAGGGUGGGGACCUGGCUGCCCGAAAAAAGGCCUGUUUACCCGGCCAGGAGGACGCCAGCCGCAGGCCUGCCAGGCCCUGUGGGAUCCACCCACGGAAUCACAAUGGGCAGCUUGUGCCCUAGCCAUCCUCCUGGGGCCACCCCGGGCCUGGUGCCGUGGACAAGGCAAGCGGGGGGGUGGGGGGGGGGGGACGGGCAGGGAGGAACCUUUGUGUCCUUGGCAAGGCCAGAUGCUCGUGCGUGCCUAUGGGUCAGCUGAGACAGUGCGGGCAGAGUGGGCCCCAAAGCUGUCCACAUCCUCAUUCUGGAAACUGGGAAUGUGUUACCUUCCACGGCAAAGGGGACUUCAGGUCGCUGAUUCCCUGACCCGAAGGUGGGAAGGUGUCCUAGAUCCUCUGGGCGGGCCCCAGGCUGCCAGGGUCCCUUAACUGGAAGAGGCAGGGAAGGAGCAUCAAGGUCAGAGAGAUGUUGGCUGUGAAUGGGGGGAAGGCCACGAGCCGAGGGGUGCAGAUACCUCUAGAAGCUGGAAAACAGAUUCUCCCCUGGAGCCUCCAGAAGCAGCCAGCCCCACCACACCUUGCUUUUAGCCCUGUGAGACCCUGCAGGACCUUGGACCCAGGAGACUGUAAGAGGAGAAAUCUGUGUGUGCCAGGCCACCGAGUGAGUGGUCAUUUGUCACCCCAGCGACAGGAACCAUGCAGGAAUCGGUUUCUGCCCUCCACAGCGGCAAGGCACCAUGAGGCAGUUACCCCCUGGCUGAGCCUCGGAUUCCCCGUCUGAAUCUUAAGGACAAUAACCUCCCUCCAGAAGGGUCCGGGACCGUGCACGCGGGACACUUAAUCCCGCGGCUGCACACAGUAGGAGGGUGUCCCCCUGGUCAGGCCACCUCCUUCCUCCCCAUGGCACGGGCCCCACACCCUGGUUCGUCCACUCGUGUGGAGUAGGGCUUGUUGCUGGGGCAAGGGGGGGACGGGGAGCCUGUGGGAUGGGCAGGGGGGAGGCAGAGGGGAUGGGCUGGGGAGCUUGGAAAAGAGAGCGUGUCCCUCCAAGAUGACCGAGGGCAUGGCGUAUGGUUGAACCAGGGCCACCUGCGCCUGCGGCUCAAAUGGGUUGGAUCCUAUCCGGCCCAGAGCUGCACGUGGGGGGUGGUCGGAUCAGAUCCUCUGCAAGGAGCCCAGGAGUAGCCAGGGAAACCUGCAAAGAUGAGGGUUUUCUUUCUUCUUUCUUUCUUUUUUUAAAUUUUGAUUUCCUUAUUUUUUUAUUUUUUUUUAUUAGUUUCAGAGGUAGAGGUCAGUGAUUCAUCAGUCUUAUGUAACACCCAGUGCUCAUUACAUCCUGUACCCUCCUUAAUGCCCAUCACCCGGUUACACCAUCCUCCCCACCCCCCUCCCCUCCAGCAACCCUCAGUUUGUUUCCUAUGAUUAAGAGUCUCUCAUGGUUUGUCUCCUUCUCUGAUUUCUUCUUGUUUUAUUUUCCCUCCCUUCCCCUAUGAGCCUCUGUGCUGUUUCUUAAAUUCCACAUAUGACUGAGAUCAUAUGAUAAUUGUCUUUCUCUGAUUGACUUAUUUCACUUAGCAUAAUACCCUCCAGUUCCAUCCACAUCGUUGUGAAUGACAAGAUUUCCUUGUUUUUGAUGGCUGCGUGAUAUUCCAUUGUCUCUAUAUGCCACGUUGUCUUUAUCCAUUCAAGAGCAGGAUGUGGAAGGGUUUGGAAGCAGGGACAGUAGGGAGGGUGGCAGGGUGCUGGGCGGGGGUCAUUGGGGACAGCUGGAGUGGAGGGGUGGACACAGGGGCAGAGGAAAGGAAACCAGAGAGGGCCUCUCUGGAGUAGGGGAGGGUGGAGGGACGUUGCCAGGGUGGUCAGGGCCAGCAGGCCGGGCUGGUGGUUGGUGUGCAGCUGGACCCCGAGCGGGGCCCUCCGCAGCCCCACCAGGCACCCCCUGACCGGGAAGGGGGUGAUCCCCAGGUGGAGACAGCUGCUUCUGGGUAUCUCCCCAUCUCUACCAGUGUCCGGGGGCCACCACCCAGAGCACCACACACCGAGGCGUAAACAAC